RNAcentral lists this ribosomal RNA (465 nucleotides) under uncultured bacterium. RNAcentral's name for it is "partial 16S ribosomal RNA". It matches the Rfam family "Bacterial small subunit ribosomal RNA", at positions 28 to 506 of the family's 1533-position model. The record is from RNAcentral.
GAUGAACGCUGGCGGCGUGCUUAACACAUGCAAGUCGAACGAUGAAGCCCAGCUUGCUGGGUGGAUUAGUGGCGAACGGGUGAGUAACACGUGAGUAACCUGCCCUUAACUCUGGGAUAAGCCUGGGAAACUGGGUCUAAUACCGGAUAGGAGCGUCCACCGCAUGGUGGGUGUUGGAAAGAUUUAUCGGUUUUGGAUGGACUCGCGGCCUAUCAGCUUGUUGGUGAGGUAAUGGCUCACCAAGGCGACGACGGGUAGCCGGCCUGAGAGGGUGACCGGCCACACUGGGACUGAGACACGGCCCAGACUCCUACGGGAGGCAACAGUGGGGAAUAUUGCACAAUGGGCGCAAGCCUGAUGCAGCGACGCCGCGUGAGGGAUGACGGCCUUCGGGUUGUAAACCUCUUUCAGUAGGGAAGAAGCGAAAGUGACGGUACCUGCAGAAGAAGCACCGGCUAACUACGU